Molecule: non-coding RNA, 2242 nt
Organism: Cicer arietinum (chickpea)
Lineage: Eukaryota; Viridiplantae; Streptophyta; Magnoliopsida; Fabales; Fabaceae
Source: RefSeq, a predicted model, not a curated record
CUCCACAAUCAUUCACUUCCUGAUAUCCAAUUUGUUUCCUACAAAAUCUAAAAAAUUUCGGAGCUCACUUUAUUUCCUUCAUUCACCUCAACUCACAGAUCCAAACUAUUCACUCCAAAAAUCCUUCUCUCUCUGCGCGAAUAUCUCAACCAAUAGAUUCCUUUUCGUCCUUCACCUUUUACGCGUUUCUAGAUUUUCUUAUACGGUGCCGUAUUGAUGGAUCUGAUAUGAGAUUUUUGGAAUUUCAUUUUUUUAGUUAAGUAGAGUGGCUUGUAAUUUAAGUUAAAAGAAUAGAAGAGGUUUGAAUUUUAUUAGAGUUGUUAUCAUGGAUCUUGUUGUUGGUGGAAAAUUUAAGCUUGGGAGGAAAAUUGGGAGUGGAUCAUUUGGCGAGCUUUAUUUAGGUGUUAAUGUUCAAACUGAAGAGGAAGUGGCUGUUAAGCUGGAAUCUGUGAAGACAAAGCAUCCUCAACUUCUCUAUGAGUCCAAAUUGUAUAUGCUUCUUCAAGGAGGAACCGGCAUACCUCAUAUAAAGUGGUCUGGAGUGGAGGGUGACUACAAUGUCAUGGCUAUUGACCUUCUUGGACCAAGCCUUGAAGACUUGUUUAACUAUUGCAGUAGAAAAUUCUCUCUGAAAACAGUGUUGAUGCUUGCAGAUCAACUAAUAAACAGAGUAGAGUAUAUGCACUCCCGGGGCUUUCUGCAUCGUGAUAUAAAGCCCGACAACUUUUUAAUGGGUUUAGGCCGCAAGGCAAAUCAGGUUUACAUUAUUGACUAUGGCCUUGCGAAAAAGUAUCGUGAUCUUCAAACACAUAAGCAUAUACCAUACAGGGAAAAUAAGAAUCUCACCGGAACCGCUCGAUAUGCAAGUGUUAACACUCACCUUGGAGUUGAACAAAGCAGAAGAGAUGAUCUUGAAUCGCUUGGUUAUGUACUAAUGUACUUUUUGAGAGGAAGUCUUCCAUGGCAAGGCUUGAAAGCUGGCACUAAAAAGCAGAAAUACGACAAGAUAAGUGAAAAGAAGAUGCUUACUCCAAUAGAGGUCUUGUGCAAGUCACAUCCAACAGAAUUCACAUCAUAUUUCCACUAUUGCCGAUCGUUGCGGUUUGAAGAUAAACCCGAUUAUUCAUAUCUUAAGAGACUCUUCCGAGACCUUUUCAUUAGAGAAGGUUAUCAGUUUGACUAUGUAUUUGAUUGGACUAUAUUGAAGUAUCCUCAAAUAGGAUCCAGUUCUAGAACACGGCCAAGUGUGAAACCAGUCUUAAACCCAGGACCAUCUGGAGAGAGAUUAGAACGACCUUCAGUCGGAAAAGAGAUUCGAGAUAGAUUAUCAGGUGCAGUGGGGGCAUUUUCUAGAAGGAAUGGCUCGGGGCAUGGGCUGCAUAAGGAUCUUUCCAAGCACAGAUCUUUAGAUAAUACACCAUCUCCCAAAGAUGUGUCUGAAAAGCAUGGAUCUGAAGAAUGUGAGAAAGACAUGUUCUCAUUCCUUGCCGAGACAAUGGAGACUACUAUAAAAUCAUGGCAUGAAACUUCUUCAGUGGGUUCUAUAGUUUACUUUCUUCAUGAUAAGGAAAAGGCGCAAACCAACAAGUAUCCUCCAUUUGUGAAUAUCAAUAGGGCCUUUGAAUUACCACAAACACACAGAAGCUGCUUUUCAUUUCUUAGGCAGUACGCCGCGGAGUCUUUCUCCAAAGCAGCAUGCUUAGUGACUUCCAAAAACAUCAUUGCUUAUCCACAAGUAACUUUUGAUUUCUUAAUGCGUUAAAUGUCUGGAAAGGACAAGGAUCAAGGAAAUGGAAACAUGCACAGAAUGAUGGUUUCUUUGGUCAAUUUGAGUUCCCUUCCCUGCGAAAAUUGUGGUUUAUUUCCGGUUCGAAUGAAAAUGGAAACACUGUGCAGGGAGCCAGAAGAUUCGGACAUUGGUGCUCAUGAAGUUGUUCCUUGCUUGUUCGAACAAAUGAUGUCUCGUUCUUAACGUCCUUUACUAAUAUAUGGCGAGUAUUUAUAAAAAGGAUACGCAAGAUGUUCUUCAAAUUUUAGAUUUAUUUUAAAGUUAUCCAAGCUUUCAAGGAGUUGCAUUUUUUGGGAAUUAUUUUCAUGAUUUGAUUGCUUAGUCUAUUCUGGUGUUCUGGAGAAUGGCCAUUAGUUUGUUUAUCACUUAUCAGUAGGUAUCGAUGUUGUAUCUGAAUACUGUGGUCGAGUGAUGGAUAUUAAAUCUGCCAGUUAAUUCUAUAGUUUUGAUCAA